CCUACGGGAGGCAGCAGUGGGGAAUAUUGGGCAAUGGGCGAAAGCCUGACCCAGCGACGCCGCGUGAGGGACGAAGGCCUUCGGGUUGUAAACCUCUUUCAGCAGGGAAGAAGCGAAAGUGACGGUACCUGCAGAAGAAGCACCGGCUAACUACGUGCCAGCAGCCGCGGUAAUACGUAGGGUGCAAGCGUUGUCCGGAAUUAUUGGGCGUAAAGAGCUCGUAGGUGGUUUGCCACGUCGGAUGUGAAAACCUGAGGCUUAACCUCAGGCCUGCAUUCGAUACGGGCAGACUAGAGUGUGGUAGGGGAGACUGGAAUUCCUGGUGUAGCGGUGAAAUGCGCAGAUAUCAGGAGGAACACCGGUGGCGAAGGCGGGUCUCUGGGCCAUAACUGACACUGAGGAGCGAAAGCGUGGGGAGCAAACAGGAUUAGAUACCCUGGUAGUCCACGCCGUAAACGGUGGGCACUAGAUGUGGGGACCUUCCACGGUCUCUGCGUCGCNGCUACGCAUAGUGCCCGCCGUCGGGAGGUACGGCCGCGACGGACGUAAACUACAAUAGAAGUUAGACGGCGUGAGACGCGCCGACGGACGACGACGAGGGAGGUAGG
RNAcentral lists this ribosomal RNA (608 nucleotides) under uncultured bacterium. RNAcentral describes it as "bacterial SSU rRNA". The stretch from base 1 to 520 matches the Rfam family "Bacterial small subunit ribosomal RNA", at positions 338 to 873 of the family's 1533-position model. The record is from RNAcentral.